This 284-nucleotide ribosomal RNA is filed under the name uncultured prokaryote. Its description in RNAcentral is "partial 16S ribosomal RNA". It matches the Rfam family "Bacterial small subunit ribosomal RNA", at positions 524 to 817 of the family's 1533-position model. The record is from RNAcentral.
UACGUAGGGGCUAGCGUUAUCCGGAAUUACUGGGCGUAAAGGGUGCGUAGGUGGUUUCUUAAGUCAGAGGUGAAAGGCUACGGCUCAACCGUAGUAAGCCUUUGAAACUGGGAAACUUGAGUGCAGGAGAGGAGAGUGGAAUUCCUAGUGUAGCGGUGAAAUGCGUAGAUAUUAGGAGGAACACCAGUUGCGAAGGCGGCUCUCUGGACUGUAACUGACACUGAGGCACGAAAACGUGGGGAGCAAAACAGGAUUAGAUACCCGGGGUAGUCCCUGAGCGGGCU